UGCUAAGACAAGAUGGGUAAA
Non-coding RNA from Caenorhabditis elegans, 21 nucleotides. The record is from Ensembl. NCBI's taxonomy places the organism in Eukaryota, Metazoa, Nematoda, Chromadorea, Rhabditida, Rhabditidae.